GGUCGCUUAACUCAGUUGGUUAGAGUGUCGUACUAAUAUGUUCCAUUCGUGGGUAUCUCUGAAAUGCGAAAGUCGCCAGUUCGAUCCUGGUAGUGACCA
Non-coding RNA from Plectosphaerella plurivora, 99 nucleotides. Lineage: Eukaryota; Fungi; Ascomycota; Sordariomycetes; Glomerellales; Plectosphaerellaceae. The record is from the annotation of a GenBank genome assembly.